RNAcentral lists this ribosomal RNA (550 nucleotides) under uncultured Glomeromycotina. RNAcentral describes it as "SSU rRNA". It matches the Rfam family "Eukaryotic small subunit ribosomal RNA", at positions 548 to 1098 of the family's 1831-position model. Lineage: Eukaryota; Fungi; Glomeromycota. The record is from RNAcentral.
UUGGAGGGCAAGUCUGGUGCCAGCAGCCGCGGUAAUUCCAGCUCCAAUAGCGUAUAUUAAAGUUGUUGCAGUUAAAAAGCUCGUAGUUGAACUUCGGGGUUCACCCAUUGGUCAGGCUUAACUGUCUGUACCGGUGAGAUGAAUCUCUACCUUCUGAGGAACUUUCAUGCCAUUUAGUUGGUGUGAUGGGAAAUCAGGACUGUUACUUUGAAAAAAUUAGAGUGUUUAAAGCAGGCUAUCGCCUGAAUACAUUAGCGUGGAAUAAUGAAAUAGGACGGACUGGUUCUAUUUUGUUGGUUUCUAGGAUCACCGUAAUGAUUAAUAGGGAUAGUUGGGGGCAUUAGUAUUCAAUUGUCAGAGGUGUAAUUCUUGGAUUUAUUGAAGACUAACUACUGCGAAAGCAUUUGCCAAGGAUGUUUUCAUUAAUCAAGAACGAAAGUUAGGGGAUCGAAGACGAUCAGAUACCGUCGUAGUCUUAACCAUAAACUAUGCCGACUAGGGAUCGGACGAAGUUAAUUUUAUAAUGACGCGUUCGGCGCCUUACGGAAAC